This 310-nucleotide ribosomal RNA is filed under the name uncultured eukaryote. RNAcentral describes it as "partial 18S ribosomal RNA". It matches the Rfam family "Eukaryotic small subunit ribosomal RNA", at positions 1470 to 1796 of the family's 1831-position model. The record is from RNAcentral.
CCCUUAGAUGUUCUGGGCGGCCCGCGCACUACAAUGGCGCUUUCAGCGAGUUCCUAUGUUGAAUUUUCCUUGGUAUUCUUGGAAGCGGCGUCUUGACUUGGGAUAGAUCCUUGUAAUUGUUGGUUUUGAACGAGGAAUUCCUUGUAAUCGCGGUUGAUCAGCUCGCGUUGAGUACGUCCCUGCCCUUUGUACACACCGCCCGUCGCUCCUACCGAUGAAUCGUCCGGUGAAGUUCACAGAGUGGCGGUUCGUGGAGUUGCUCGCGAAGUGAAAUGGACCUCACGAUUUAGAGGAAGGAGAAGUCGUAACA